This 74-nucleotide transfer RNA is filed under the name bacterium. RNAcentral describes it as "tRNA-Pro". It matches the Rfam family "tRNA". Rfam says of the family: Transfer RNA (tRNA) molecules are approximately 80 nucleotides in length. RNAcentral also lists the same sequence under 3 other names. The record is from RNAcentral.
CGGGGCGUAGCGCAGUCUGGAAGCGCGCGCGGUUCGGGUCCGUGAGGUCCCCGGUUCAAAUCCGGGCGCCCCGA